CAGGGAGACAACAAAUUGAUUGUGAUGUCUAAGUGAUUUAUUCUUAGGCCGCAAUCCUGUCACCUUAAGGUCGAUCGGUACCUCAGAUUUGUGAAUUAAUUUUAUAAUUAGUUUAUUGAUUUCAGUUCCUAAACUUGUCUAGGUCACACCCAACAAAGGUUUCUCCUGGGCCAUUAGCUCAGGUGGUUAGAGCGCACCCCUGAUAAGGGUGAGGUCCCUGGUUCAAGUCCAGGAUGGCCCAUUCGUUGUUGGGGGUAUAGCUCAGUUGGUAGAGCGCCUGCUUUGCAAGCAGGAUGUCAGCGGUUCGAGUCCGCUUACCUCCACGGAACACUAUCCUGAUAACUUAAUUACCGGAGAAAAAUUGUAAUUUGGCUUAGAUUUGUCCUUCUGAAAAGAACCUAGCUUCUUAUCAUCAUCAUUUUGAUUGUUGAUAAUAUGCUGGGCUCCCAUGGUUUUAUCCAUGAGAAUUCAGUAGAACCUUGAAAACUGCAUAGAUUAGAAAGAAUAAAGCAUCUCAUGGAUGCAUAAUUUUGGUUUAUUUUCUUAGUCUAAAAACUAAGUGAUAAAUUCCAGGAUUCAUGUUUAAUCAUUGAGUAAUAGCCGAGCACAAUUGAUUUUGUGUUUGUAUUUAA
Molecule: transfer RNA, 632 nt
Filed under: uncultured cyanobacterium
Lineage: Bacteria; Bacillati; Cyanobacteriota
Description: partial miscellaneous RNA
Rfam family: tRNA (bases 251-323)
Source: RNAcentral